UGUUUAGUUUUUGUGGGCAUUCGGUGGAUGCCUUGGUACCAAGAGCUGAUGAAGGACGUGGCGGCCUGCGAUAAUCCUUGGGGAGUUGGCGAGCGAGCGUUGAUCUGAGGGUGUCCGAAUGGGGGAACCUGGCUGGGGUUGUGCCUGGUCACUAUCAUCUGAAUUCAUAGGGUGGUAGGGGGAACGCGGGGAAGUGAAACAUCUUAGUACCCGUAGGAGAAGAUAUUUCGUCAGUAGUGGUGAGCGAAAGCGGAUGAUGGCUAAACCGUGUGCGUGUGUGACUCGGCGGGGGUUGCGUGUGCGGGGUUGUGGGGCUCUUUUUUCUCAUCUUCUGCCGGGGGUGGGGGUGUGUGCGUGUGCGUGUGGUGAACAUCUUGGGAUGGGUGACCGUAGUGCGUGAUAGUCGUGUAGCUGUGUGUGUGCGUGUGUGCCAAAGGGGUGCCCGAGUAGUGCGGGGCUCGUGGAAUCUCGUGUGAAUCUGCCAGGACCACCUGGUAAGCCUGAAUACUUUUUGGUGACCGAUAGUGCAUAGUACCGUGAGGGAAUGGUGAAAAGUACCCCGGGAGGGGAGUGAAAUAGUGCCUGAAACCGGGUGCCUGUAAGCCGUCAGAGCCUGCUUUUGUUGGGUGAUGGCGUGCCUUUUGAAGAAUGAGCCUGCGAGUCAGUGAUGCGUGGCGUGCUUAACCCGUGUGGGGGAUGCGUAGCGAAAGCGAGUCUUAAUUUUGGGCGUGUGUCGCGUGUUGUGGACCCGAAGCGGGGUGAUCUACCUAUGGUCAGGGUGAAGCUAUGGUAAGACGUGGUGGAGGCCCGUACCCACCAGGGUUGAAAACCUGGGGGAUGAACUGUGGGUAGGGGUGAAAGGCCAAUCAAACUCCGUGAUAGCUGGUUCUCCCCGAAAUGCAUUUAGGUGCAGCGUCACACUGGGCUUGGUGGAGGUAGAGCUACUGGUUGGUUGAUGGGCCGUGUUGGUUACUGACGUCAGCUAAACUCCGAAUGCCAUUUCAAGUGGGUGUGGCAGUGAGACUGCGGGGGAUAAGCUUCGUGGUCGAGAGGGAAACAGCCCAGAUCAUCGGCUAAGGCCCCUAAGCGUGCGCUGAGUGGGAAAGGAUGUGGAGUCGCGUUGACAGCCAGGAGGUUGGCUUAGAAGCAGCCAUCCUUGAAAGAGUGCGUAAUAGCUCACUGGUUGUUUUUGGGUAGGGGAGCGUCCUGCUCUGGGUGAAGCUGCCUGGUGAUGGGUGGUGGACGGGGUGGGAGUGAGAAUGCAGGCAUGAGUAGCGUUUCGUGGGUGAGAAUCCUACGCGCUGAUUGACUAAGGGUUCCAGGGGCAGGUUUGUCCGCCCUGGGUUAGUCGGGUCCUAAGGCGAGGCCGACAGGCGUAGUCGAUGGGUGACCAGUUGAUAUUCUGGUACCGUUUGUUUUCCGUCUGACGCUGCAUGCUUUCGCGUCGUGUGCUUGCCGUGCGUGGUGUUGUCUUUCGGGAUGAUGCUGAGUGUGGCUGUGUGUGGUGUGGGGUGUGUGGUGAGCAUUGGGGUGACGCAGGGAGGUAGUUGCUGCACACUGGUGGUUAUGUGUGUCUAAGGUUGUGGCCUGUUUCUUGGGUGAAAUCCGGGAAGCUGCGUUUGAUCGCGUGGGUGAGGGCUGAUGGGGCUGCCUGUUGGGGUGGCUAGUGGUGAUCCUGUACUGCCGAGAAAAGCCUGGAUGUGAGGAAGAUGAGCGCCCGUACCCUAAACCGACUCUGGUGGUCAGGUAGAGUAUACCGAGGCGUGCGAGUGAAUCAUGGUUAAGGAAUUCGGCAAAUUGCCCCCGUAACUUUGGGAUAAGGGGGGCCCUGCUGGUGUGCCUGCUUUUGCGUGGGUGGUGCUGGUUGGGGUCGCAGAGAAUUGGGAGAAGCGACUGUUUAUUAAAAACAUAGGUGUGUGCUAAGCCGUAAGGCGCUGUAUACGCACUGACGCCUGCCCGGUGCUGGAAGGUUAAGAGGACGACUUAACUGCUUUUUUGUGGUGAAGGUUUGAAUUUAAGCCCCAGUAAACGGCGGUGGUAACUAUAACCAUCCUAAGGUAGCGAAAUUCCUUGUCGGGUAAGUUCCGACCUGCACGAAUGGCGUAACGACUUCUCCGCUGUCUCGACCGUGAUCUCGGUGAAAUUGCAGUACGAGUAAAGAUGCUCGUUUCGCGCAGCAGGACGGAAAGACCCCGGGACCUUUACUAUAGCUUGGUAUUGGUGUGUGUUUGUGCUUGUGUAGGAUAGGUGGGAGACUGUGAUGCCGUGCCGCUAGGUGUGGUGGAGUCGUUGGUGAAAUACCAUUCUGGUUCAAGUAUGCAUCUAACUUGGAGCCCUGAUCGGGUUUGGGGACAGUGCCUGGUGGGUAGUUUAACUGGGGCGGUUGCCUCCUAAAGGGUAACGGAGGCGCUCAAAGGUUCUCUCAGCCUGGUUGGUGAUCAGGUGGUGAGUGUAAGUGCACAAGAGGGCUUGACUGUGACACUGACGGGUGGAGCAGGUACGAAAGUAGGAACUAGUGAUCCGGCCAUGGCUUGUGGAAGCGUGGUCGCUCAACGGAUAAAAGGUACCCCGGGGAUAACAGGCUGAUCUUGCCCAAGAGUCCAUAUCGACGGCAUGGUUUGGCACCUCGAUGUCGGCUCGUCGCAUCCUGGGGCUGGAGUUGGUCCCAAGGGUUGGGCUGUUCGCCCAUUAAAGCGGUACGCGAGCUGGGUUUAGAACGUCGUGAGACAGUUCGGUCCCUAUCCGCUGCGCGCGUUGGAAACUUGAUGAAGGCCCGUCCCUAGUACGAGAGGACCGGGAUGGACGAACCUCUGGUGUGCCAGUUGUACUGCCAGGUGCAUUGCUGGUUGGCUACGUUCGGUUGGGAUAACCGCUGAAAGCAUCUAAGCGGGAAGCUUUCUUCGAGAUGAGGUUUCCGUGCCCCCGUUGUGGGGGUGGGAGGUCCCCAGUAGAUGACUGGGUUGAUAGGCCAGAGGUGGAAGCAUUGUGAGGUGUUGUGAGCCGACUGGUACUAAUGGGCCGAUUCUAAACCAA
Molecule: ribosomal RNA, 3033 nt
Filed under: Actinomyces sp.
Lineage: Bacteria; Bacillati; Actinomycetota; Actinomycetes; Actinomycetales; Actinomycetaceae
Description: 23S ribosomal RNA
Rfam family: Bacterial large subunit ribosomal RNA
Source: RNAcentral